UACGUAGGUGGCAAGCGUUAUCCGGAUUUACUGGGCGUAAAGCGCGUGCAGGCGGUUUCGUAAGUCGGAUGUGAAAGCUCCUGGCUUAACUGGGAGAGUGCAUUCGAUACUGCGAGGCUUGAGGUCGGGAGAGGGACGUGGAAUUCCCGGUGUAGUGGUGGAAUGCGUAGAUAUCGGGAGGAACACCAGUGGCGAAGGCGGCGUCCUGGCCCGUACCUGACGCUGAGACGCGAAAGCGUGGGUAGCGAACGGGAUUAGAUACCCCGGUAGUCCACGCUGUAAACGGUGGAUACUAGGUGUUGGUGGCUAUCGUCAUCAGUGCCGUAGCUAACGCGUUAAGUAUCCCGCCUGGGGACUACGGCCGCAAGGCUAAA
This 374-nucleotide ribosomal RNA is filed under the name uncultured bacterium. RNAcentral's name for it is "bacterial SSU rRNA". It matches the Rfam family "Bacterial small subunit ribosomal RNA", at positions 524 to 898 of the family's 1533-position model. The record is from RNAcentral.